This 64-nucleotide transfer RNA is filed under the name Procapritermes sp. G TB-2017. RNAcentral describes it as "tRNA-Ser". Lineage: Eukaryota; Metazoa; Arthropoda; Insecta; Blattodea; Termitidae. The record is from RNAcentral.
GAAGUGGUAGAAAGUGAAUGCUGCUAACUUAUCACUAUAGCGGUUAAAAUCCGUUUACACUUCU